Non-coding RNA from Musa acuminata subsp. malaccensis (wild Malaysian banana), 470 nucleotides. The record is from RefSeq and is a predicted model, not a curated record. Lineage: Eukaryota; Viridiplantae; Streptophyta; Magnoliopsida; Zingiberales; Musaceae.
GUAUCUGGCAUCAGUUGGAGCAAUAAUCAUCCCAUCCAGCUGCAAGAGAGUGUGUGCAAUUCUUCAGGAUACAGUUCAUUGUCUGCUUCAUGUAGCUUAUGUUGCAGUGGUGGUUUUAUGGCUCACAAACUGAUCAGCUCCUAUAUCUGAAUGUGAUUACAAUCUGACUCCGGACAUGAGGUUUAGGGUCUGGAAACCUAUGUAUCAAAUCUUUCAAGUGGUGGUCAGGCACAACCUGUGCAAAUUAAUACAGAUACAUAUGCUUGGACUCUAUCUGAAUGCAAUGGCAAUCUGACUCUGGACAUGUAAAUUUGGGUCCUGAUAUCUGUGUUUCAGAUCUUUCGAGUUGUGGUCGGGCACAACCUAGACCAACAUACUGGAACAUGAUCAAACCCAAUUGCCACCCUUAGCAAAAGAAUAUAUUGUAGCCAACUGUUUCUAGCAAAACCAUUGUGUUUCUGUGCUGAAAA